Molecule: small RNA, 2208 nt
Filed under: Pan troglodytes (chimpanzee)
Lineage: Eukaryota; Metazoa; Chordata; Mammalia; Primates; Hominidae
Description: retained intron
Source: RNAcentral
AAGAUGGUGGCCCCAACUCUGGUGGACCCCAGAACUCUGAGAGAUUCCAGGAAUUAGGCAAAUCAGGAUUAGGUCAGGAAGAAAGGAUUACCUCUCCAUGAAACCUACACAAAUCUCCAUGCCAUGGAAAAGUAAUUAGUAAGUAGAUGAGCUCAUUUAUGAAGUCACCUCUCACGGUGCCUGAUGCACAUUAAGCACGUAAUUGAUGCCUGCUGUUACUAUAACGAUUAUGUAUUUCUGUUGCUGCCACACUAAAAUGAAUAACAACAUACUUUCCCACCUAAAACCCAAAAGAAGAAACCAGUGGGAGGGAUGUCUUCAGCCAGCCCACCAGCAUAGAAAAGGGUCACCUGCCAGUCACCCCAACUCCCAGCGGCCCAAUCCUAGGCUCCUCCAUGAGCCUCUGACCUCUGUUCACCUUCCUAGGCAGCCAGUGUGCUAAGGGCCCAGGUGACUACCACUAGCCACCUAGCAGCCAACUAUCCUUGCUAUUAAUUAACAGACUGAUGCUCUGGUUUUUAUCACCUGAGGGAGCUGAUAAACUCACAUUUCCAGGUCAAAAAGCCAAGUGAUCAGAGCUCAGAGUAGGUAUACAGGCACAGGUAACAAAAAUUAACCAGCAGGCUUUUCCCUAAAGUGGGCCCUGGUAAACACAGGACCCUGCAGUCUCCCUGUGCUUAAGUCAGAGUGAACCAACAUCAGAAAGCCUGGGAUCGUGUAGUCAUGGCCUAGGAAGAAGCCUGGUCGGUAUCCUUUUUCCCAGGGAGAGAGAGCAGCAUUUGCCCAAGUCCUUGGACCUGGGGUCUGGUGCCCUGGGAAUAGAAUAGAGCUGCUUAUGGGGAGACUGUCUCACCUAGCCCACUGAAGGCCUCAUCCUGUCUCCUCUUACAUCAGGUGUGGCAGUGUGGGGGCCAGCUGGAGAUCAUCCCCUGCUCUGUCGUAGGCCAUGUGUUCCGGACCAAGAGCCCCCACACCUUCCCCAAGGGCACUAGUGUCAUUGCUCGCAAUCAAGUGCGCCUGGCAGAGGUCUGGAUGGACAGCUACAAGAAGAUUUUCUAUAGGAGAAAUCUGCAGGCAGCAAAGAUGGCCCAAGAGAAAUCCUUCGGUGACAUUUCGGAACGACUGCAGCUGAGGGAACAACUGCACUGUCACAACUUUUCCUGGUACCUGCACAAUGUCUACCCAGAGAUGUUUGUUCCUGACCUGAUGCCCACCUUCUAUGGUGCCAUCAAGAACCUCGGCACCAACCAAUGCCUGGAUGUGGGUGAGAACAACCGCGGGGGGAAGCCCCUCAUCAUGUACUCCUGCCACGGCCUUGGCGGCAACCAGUACUUUGAGUACACAACUCAGAGGGACCUUCGCCACAACAUCGCAAAGCAGCUGUGUCUACAUGUCAGCAAGGGUGCUCUGGGCCUUGGGAGCUGUCACUUCACUGGCAAGAAUAGCCAGGUCCCCAAGGACGAGGAAUGGGAAUUGGCCCAGGAUCAGCUCAUCAGGAACUCAGGAUCUGGUACCUGCCUGACAUCCCAGGACAAAAAGCCAGCCAUGGCCCCCUGCAACCCCAGUGACCCCCAUCAGUUGUGGCUCUUUGUCUAGGACCCAGAUCAUCCCCAGAGAGAGCCCCCACAAGCUCCUCAGGAAACAGGAUUGCUGAUGUCUGGGAACCUGAUCACCAGCUUCUCUGGAGGCCGUAAAGAUGGAUUUCUAAACCCACUGGGUGGCAAGGCAGGACCUUCCUAAUCCUUGCAACAACAUUGGGCCCAUUUUCUUUCCUUCACACCGAUGGAAGAGACCAUUAGGACAUAUAUUUAGCCUAGCAUUUUCCUGUUCUAGAAAUAGAGGCUUCCAAAGUAGGGAAGGCAGCUGGGGGAGGGUUCAGGGCAGCAAUGCUGAGUUCAAGAAAAGUACUUCAGGCUGGGCACAGUGGCUCAUGCCUGAACUCCUAGCACUUUGGGAAGACAAUGUGGGAGAAUGGCUUGAGCCCAGGAGUUCAAGACUGGCCUGAGCAACAUAGUGAGGAUCCCAUCUCUACGCCCACCCUCCCCCCCGCAAAAAAAAAAAAAGCUGGGUAUGGUGGCUUAUGCCUGUAGUCACAGCUACUCAGAAGGCUGAGGUGGGAGGAUUGCUUGUUCCCCGGAGGUUGAAGCUACAGUGAGCCUUGAUUGUGUCACUGCACUCCAGCCUGGGCAACAGGUGAGACUCUGUCUC